Molecule: long non-coding RNA, 7715 nt
Filed under: Nicotiana benthamiana
Lineage: Eukaryota; Viridiplantae; Streptophyta; Magnoliopsida; Solanales; Solanaceae
Description: long non-coding RNA (NBEN_LNC024296)
Source: RNAcentral
CAUGACAAGUAAUUCAAUGAAGUGAAGAUUUUUCCUAAACAGUUACAUAGACUCUCGUAGAUAAGUACAGACGUCUCCAUACCGAUCAUCGAGACUCUAAUAAAUCGGCAUGUGUCCCGUGACUACUAUGAACCUAGACCUCUGAUACCAACUAUUCACGACCCUAGUUCACCAAUCGUGAACCUUUCAUGAUGGCACCCAGUUUUCGCGAGUAGGUAAGCCUGACACAUUGCGGAAAUUCAACAACCUUUAUGAAAACAGUAAAUAAUACUGAAUAACAUAAGAAAAUGUAUAAGGUGUCGCCUGGAACAUACACUUCAACUCAAACAAUGUAAAAAUCUCCAAGACCCGGAAACCCACGGGCAACACAGGCUAAGAGUAAAAUUUAACAUACAGCUCUAAUAUCCAGAAGUGUCUACAACAACUGACUACAUGAAUGAAACUGCUAAGUAAAAGGUGGAAUAGAAGGAAACUCUUCGGCUCUGCGGACGCGGCAGAUGCAUACCUCAAGUCUCCAUGUGUAACUUCGAAAUAACGGAUAGCACGCCCGACAAGAAGUACCUGGAUCUGCACAACAAAAAUGUGCAGAAGAGUAGCAUGAGUACACCACAGCGGUNNNNNNNNNNNNNNNNNNNNNNNNNNNNNNNNNNNNNNNNNNNNNNNNNNNNNNNNNNNNNNNNNNNNNNNNNNNNNNNNNNNNNNNNNNNNNNNNNNNNNNNNNNNNNNNNNNNNNNNNNNNNNNNNNNNNNNNNNNNNNNNNNNNNNNNNNNNNNNNNNNNNNNNNAUGUCCCAAUUGAUAUGACGGUGCUACAAAAACAUAAGAAUAGAUAUGAAAUGAAUAGACAAUAAUAAAUACAAUAAAUCUCGAGUAUCUAACAAACAAUAAGUAGAAUGGAACAGGCUACAAAUACAAUCUACGAAUACAAGAUCAAACACUCAAAAAUCAGGAUGCCACAUGGAUCUCCGGGAAUUGAACCCGCGGUCCAUUUUACCAAUAUCCGAGGAUCUCCGGUAAUCGAACCCAUUGUCCAUUGCCACAUGGAGCUCCAGGAAUUGAACCUGCAGUCCACUUUACCAUUAUCCGAGGAUCUUCGGGAAUCAAACCCGCAGUCCAUCAUACCAAUAUCAGAAGAUCUCCUAGGAAUCAAACCCGUAGUCCAUCAUGUCAAUCACAAAGGAUCUCUCGAGAAUCGAACUCGUAGUCUAUCAUAUCAAUAACAGAAGAUCUCUCGCGAAUCGAACACGUAGUCCAUCAUAUAAAUAAACACAUCACAAUAAUUCAAUACCUUACAGAAAGAAGCUAAGUACAAGCAACAUGUAAAAAUCUAGAGUCUAGCAUGCUCACAAAAAGGACAGAUAUUGUAAUUUAGUCAACUAGAGCAAAUAAGUUACUAGCAUGCUUUUCCUAAGCUAAAACAAGUAAAAUUGCAUUUUUGACAGUUAAAUAGGUGAAGAAACACAGUCUAAAUAAGUCAAGUAAGGUGGAUUUUUUAACAACUAGCACAGUGCAUGCCCGUCAUCUCACGCAUAAGGCAUUUAAACAACAAUAAAGAUAUCCUAAGGGGAGAGGUCCCCCACACAAGGUUGGACAAGCCACUUACCUCGAACCGGUACAAAACCGCUAAGAAACAAUGCCCUUGCCACGGGUAUCCGACUCCAAAUUUCACACAUCUAUUCAAACCAAUUACAUAUUGUAAAUAACAUGGAAAGUAACUAAUUACACUGUUAAAAUUAAAUUUAUGGCGCGAAAAUAGGUGAAAUGACCAAAAUACCCCUCAAGCCAAAGUCUCGGAAUCGAAUAUAUUUUACAUUUUAAGAAAUCUCGUACUCUCACGAGUCUAACCAUAUAAAAAUCUCCCAAAUUAGAGGUAAAAUGCCCCUUCAAAUCAUCAAAGUUAGGUCUAAGAACAUUACCCUUAUUUAUUGCUAAUACAAUUAUAUUUGCUCACCAAGAAAUACUCAAUUAAUAACACUCCAUGAGAAUGUGACAACCCUGCCCGUCGUCCAUGUGUUAACACCCCGUUUUCCUCGUUUUAUGCUUCUUUAUGUUUCAUCAUACGUGUUUGUAGAGUUUGAAGUGAUUCGGUCAGAGUUUGGUUGGAAUUGAGACAAUUAGUCUCUUUAAGAAAAGGCUAGUUGGNNNNNNNNNNNNNNNNNNNNNNNNNNNNNNNNNNNGAAUUGAGACAAUUAGUCUCUUCAUGAGAAUGUGACAACCCUGCCCGUCGUCCAUGUGUUAACACCCCGUUUUCCUCGUUUUAUGCUUCUUUAUGUUUCAUCAUACGUGUUUGUAGAGUUUGAAGUGAUUCGGUCAGAGUUUGGUUGGAAUUGAGACAAUUAGUCUCUUUAACAGAAGGCUAGUUUGGAAAAGUCAAUCCGACAUUGACUUAUGAGUUAUAGGGCUAGGAAUGGAUUUCUGAAGAUUCGGCUAGUUUUGGGUGGUGAUUUAUGACUUGGGAGAGAAAUCAGAUCUGAAUGUGGAGGUCCUAUGUAGAAUUAGGCUUGAAUUGGCUAAGUUUGAAUAUUGGUGAAUUCCGGUUGAUAGGUGAGAUUUUGAUCUGGGAUCGGAAUGGAAUUUUGAGAGUUGUUGUAACUUCGUUAGGUGAUUUUAGAUAUGUCUGCAAAUUUUCAGGUCAAUCGGAUGUCGUUUGGUCGGGUUGUGGAUCGAAUGUGAGUUUUGGAAGUUUUAGUUUAACUUAGGCUUGAAUCCGUCGUGAAUUGAUGAUUUUUGUGCUGUUGGUCGUGUUUUGAUGAUUGGAACAAGUUCGUAUGAUAUUUUGGGGCAGGUUGGUAUUUUUGUUUGGGGCCUCGCGGUGAUUUCGGAGUUCAAGCAGAUCAUUUUUGGUUGGCUUGGAGAUCACAUUUUGUUGUCAUAAAUGUUGGAGACUUUUGUUCAAUGCGAUCACAGGAGUGGAUUUAAUUAUUAUCAUGCUAUCGAGUGAAUUUAAUGAUUCCCAACUCUAUUUAAAUAUAAAUCUUCCGAAAGUUAUUUUGUUUCAACUUAAACAAUUUAGAUCUUCAACAACCAAAACUUCAUCAAUUUGGUUUUCUCAAAUAGUAGUAAGAAUAUUAUAAGUUUGUAGCUAGAUAUUCCAAUCUCUGUGGGACGAUAUCUUUAACUAUAUUAGAAUUUGACUAAGCACGAGCAGAAAAAUCCUAUACACAUUGGCCUCGUCAAAAAUAUUAACUUGUCGUCAUUCAAUCAAUAUCGAACUCUUCUUUUUGGCGAAGGCCCUUGGCCUUAAAGGGUGUUAUUUCGAACUUGUCGAAUAUUAACCCUUCAUCAUUCCCAGUUUUUGGAGAACCAGGAAUCCUCUGGGGGAGUUCCAGUUCGCUUGAUAUUGUUUGUGUCGGAGAGUGUAAUGUCGGAGAGUACAAAAUGUCGUUGUUUCGUUUAUGUUCGUCUUGUUCACACAUUGGAGUUUCCUUGUCUAAUUCCUACUUUUCGGUCUUGAGAUGUCAUCGGUGGGUGAUAUUUCGGUUGUCUUGAAGUAGUUUCCCAUUCACUGAUUGAGAUGUUUCUUUUCUCGCUCGCCCGCACGACACUUAUGUUCCUACUUGAGCAAAGAGCAGAAGGUGAGUCAAAAUGAUACUUCCCUUACCCCCAUCUGAUGGAUCGGUGAACGAGAGUAGGUUUGUAACGUUGCUCGUUUUGUCUGACAUUUCGACGGUUGAUGGGGCGAUGAUUUCUAAAUUCGUGAUUGUAUUCAGCUCUUUUUCCUCUUCUAUUUUGCCAAUUUGCCCUGCGUGGGUUGGGCUUUGCCUUAUCUCUAUUUUUUGGUGGGUAAUCGUGUUUCUUGUCUUUGAUUUGGAAGAGACUAGGAAAUUUCACUGAAAAAUCCCCAUAGAUGGCGCUAAAUUUUUGACUCAAAAGAUAGUGGAACCUUUUUGAAUAAAUUAAUUAAAAAAAUAAAGGGGUAAAUCUUGGUCAAUCAUGAUAAAUUCCAUAUCAAUAAACUAAUUGAAAAAAUAAUACAUAAGAUGAGAUAGAGGUAACCAAUCUUAUUGAAACUUUCAGUUGUGGAUCCCAUUAAUCAAUGGAGGAAACCUUUUUACAUAUUUUCUUUGAGAAUGCUUUGUUCUUCUUUUCGUUAUGAAGAUUACAUAACAGAGAACUAGGGAGAGAGAAAGAAGUGAAAGACUGCCCCUAUUUCCCGAAGGUUUUCCCCUACUAUAUUUAUAGUCAUGGGACCUUUGCUAUGUAUUUGGUUUGACACCCUUUCACACUGUGUUUGCCUUGGUCAUCCCCUGAACGGUGUUUCUUCUGACUCAAUGGGUAUCGUUGUUUAACCAAAAAGUGGAAUUUCAUUCAAAGCUUUAAUAUCUAAGAACUCGGGUUACUGAUAAUCAAAGAAUGAAUAAAAGAAAAUCAUUUUGCCAAUAGUAAGAUAAUCAGAUGAAAACGAAGUAAACCAGUGUAUUGAGAUAGUUUUUUCGUGUCCUUACAAAUGACUCAAUCUCUUCCUUAUAUAGUUAUCUCCAAGAUAUCCGUUUUGCCUUUGUCAUAAUAAGGUCAUUAUAUACAAUAAUAGAUAUUAAAUGCUACGUUACACAAUUAUUGAGAUUUAAUACAGAUUCUCUAAUGUUUUUAGUAUUUAAUGCUUAUUAAAUAUUGUAUAUGUACUCUUUUGUGCUGUCAGAUUCAUUCUCCUUGAUUUUCGGACAUAAAUAGGUACGAGCGCUGAGUCUAUUGAUUAACCACUCGUGCCUCUUCAUGUUCCCCUGCUCGUAUCUAUUGAAACUCGUACCUCUUUGCCAAUCAUCAUCCUUUGACUAGUCUCCACAUCAUGACUGUCACACCUUCUUUUUCGCUAUACACCCCCGCAAAGGGGCGUAAAGGAGUUUUUCCAAUUAAAGGACAAUCGGAAUAGGAUUUGGUUAUUAAUUCAGAGUCGCCACUUGGGAGAUUAAUGGUGUCCCAAGUCACCAGUUUUGAAUCCCGAUCCGAGGAAAAUGAUGACUUUGUUCACAGUCCGCGAACCAGAAAUCCAGAUAAGGAAUUCUGUUAACCCGGGAGAAGGUGUUAGGAAUUCCCGAGUUCCGUGGUUCUAGCAUGGUCUCUUACUAUUGCAUUUGAUUUUAUCUAACUCUGAUUUUAAUGCAUGCUAACUUAUGUGUGUUUAUUUAUAAACCUCUUUUACCAAUAUUUAUUUUAAAAGACUUGCGACGUCGUGAAAAUGCGCUUCUGACCACGUCGCCAUCAAGGCACACGUGUUCGUCAACACAUUUCGACUUCGUCGAGAUUUGGAUUUGGAUCACAUCAAUGCGCACCCGAGUUUAAGGAAGUAAUUUAAUUAAAUCACGCUUAAAGAUUCUAACGUAAUAUUGUUCGGAAAAGGCCGUUGAAAUUCGCUAAACGGCCCUUAAAAAUUCUAAUUAUUUUUAAUAAUCAAUUACUGAGGGCCUCACAUUUAUUUUUGUUCAGCGAGGCUCGUCUCCAAAAAUAAUCAUUUUUUUAUCAAUGUUUGUUUUAUAAGAAUUGCGACAUCAUGAAAACACGUUUCUAACCCCGUCGCCAUCAAGACAACCGUGGUUAUCAACACAUUUCGACUUCGUCGAGAUUUGGAUUUAGGUCGCAUCAAUGCACACCCGAUUUUAGGAAGGUAAUUUAAUGAAAUCGUGCCUAAAGAUUCCAGCGUAGUAUUAUUUGAGGAAGGCCGUGAAAUUCGCUAAACGACCCUCCCGAAUUUUAAGUAAUUUUAUGUAACCAUUAUUGAGGGCCCCACAUUUUGUGCUUUUACUUAGCGAGGCUCGUCUCAUUUUAUUAUUAAAGUCAAUCCUAAGGCGACUAUGAUUUGUCUAUUUAUUUUUGUCUCUAAAGGAAUAAAGAAAAGGGACCUAACUAGUUUGCAUCCACAUCCCAAUGCUAACUGGAUUAGUGAAUUUACAGAUAUGGAACCAGUCUCAAUUUAUUUCAAAUUCUAAUCAUGUGAAGCUACAACCAUGAGAUCUCGAGUCGUGUACCUCGGUAUGAAGAUUCAAAGAAGAAGAAAAGAUCAGCAGUAGCGGAUAACAAACAGCAGCGCUUUGAGAUAACAAACAACAACAAAUACACAACCCAUAAAAUUGAAGUAUAGCCCAGAAAGAUGUUUGGAAAUCAAACGAAGAGAGGGAUCGACUUGAAUCAACUUCAAAACAGACCAAAUAACCUUGGAAAUCACUCAGACUGAACUCAACAUUUUCCAGAGACCCAGGCUCACUCAAACUUAACUUAAUUGGACUAAAUCUCACACGAAAUCACCUCAAUUUUUUUGAAACCACAACUAUCAGACUUUGAACCUAGAGACUGGAAAUUGAACUAAAAACUCCAAUGGAAUAGUAACUAUUGUUUGGUUUUUCUAUUUUUCUGUGUGUAUUUUUUGUAUUUUUCUAUAUCUAAAAGCUGAAACUAAUCUAAAACUGGAAAUACAAGGAAAAUCAGAAUUUUUCUAUUAGAUUUUUAGGCUGAAAAAGUUAAGAUCCUUUCUCAAGCAAUGAGGGACUCAAAUUAUAGGCCACUCUAGGAUAAAGGACCAGAUUUUAGUUUUCUCUUUUAGUCCUUGUCCAUUUUUCACUUUAAACCUCAAAUUCCUCAAGUUACUCCCUAAGUUUCUGAAAUGUACACUAAAGCCCUAUUCUAGGAGCUUCUAGGAUGCUCUUUGAGCCUCAAAAUACCCAUCCUUUAUCCUACAUUGCAAUUACUAUUUCUCAAUAUACUACCAUUUUCCAUGCUCAAAUUACCCUUUAAACAGUCUAAAAAUUACAUACUAAAAUUAACUUAACCCUCCCCCCUUUUAACUAAAAUCUAACUAAAGCUAAUUAACAAGAGUUUUUCGGCUGCAAAUUAUCUUAAACACUAAUUAACCCUAAUAUCCAAUAAUCAAUUAAAGCCUGAUGAACUGAAAUCGGUCCAAAUCCAACUCUAAAUCCACCUUUGCAUGAACAGAACAAAGAAAAAGCCUGACUAUCUAACAACCAAUUAUUAUCAUAGUGUAUGAAUUAUUAUUAACAAAGUAGACGUGAAGGACAAUGAUAUCACAAUUAAACCAAACAUAUAACGCAAAUAAAUGAAAUUAUAGCGAGAUUAACAAGAACACAGUUGAAUCGAGCACUCAUGAAAUUGAGAGAAACAUAAUAUGACAAAAUUGAACGUAUGACUUGGCUGAUCAAAACAGAUGAAACGAAAAGGAAGAAGAAGAUAAAUAAGCUAUCCUAUUGAAGAAAAAGAAAAUUAUAAAACUAGAAGAUACUCACCACAUAAGUCAUUCAACCCUGAAAUAAACCCCCAAAACAGGUCAAGCUGCAUGAACCCUAAAUCCAACAAUAUGCAAGCUCUACUGAGAUUCAAACAUGCUAGCAUAGAAAAUGUCAUGAGAUAGGCUAGGGGACUGUGGGGUACGAAUUUGGAACCAUUUGGGCAGAUUGCCAUUUUGGGCUCGAACUUCAGUCAAAUAUUCGAGAAGGUGCUGUUGGAUUCAAGGGAAGCUAGUGGCAUGAGUGGAAAGAGGAGAGUGAAAGGAACAAUUGGUGUUAUUUUGGUUGGAUUUGGGGUGAGUUUGUGUUUGGCCCAGAACUUUGAUCUAAAAUUCGAGACUUUUGGUUGAUAUUUGAAGGCCAAUGGUUAUAGAUUUGGGCUGAGGGCGUCGAGGAGAUUUAGGGGUGUAUAUUUGGGCGGGAUUGGAGGUGGAGCCGCCACCCUUAGGCGGUGGGGUUUAGUGGAGGCUUCUCUAGGGUUUUCU